This 74-nucleotide transfer RNA is filed under the name Ignavibacteria bacterium. Its description in RNAcentral is "tRNA-Arg". It matches the Rfam family "tRNA". From Rfam's summary of the family: Transfer RNA (tRNA) molecules are approximately 80 nucleotides in length. Their secondary structure includes four short double-helical elements and three loops (D, anti-codon, and T loops). The record is from RNAcentral. Lineage: Bacteria; Pseudomonadati; Ignavibacteriota; Ignavibacteria.
GCGCCCGUAGCUCAACAGGAUAGAGCAUUGGAUUCCGGUUCCAAAGGUUGGGGGUUCAACUCCCUUCGGGCGUG